UUAUUUGGCAUUUGACAAUUGAUGUGUCAAAUCAGUACAAUUUGCUCAAAGAACUGUUGAUUUUUUUUAACCGCGUAUCUCCGAAUCCGUAUAUAACAGGUACCGUGUGUCUCGGGGACUACUUGUGUGUACUUCUCAUAAGCAUCAUCAUUAUCAUCAUCAUUUCUCGUGUUGUUCCGGUCGUGUCGAAUUUAACCGUGAAUUUAGUGGGCGAUUACAAUCCCAACCGGCAUUAUCGUGCGAUUUUUAUGUGUUUCUAUCAUUUUUCUCAUUCUAUAAUUCAGAAAUUUUUUCGCUUUGUCUUGUUCUUGGGUGUUGGUCAGUUUUUGCUCGCAACUUGGCUGUGUCACACCAACCAUCCUCAUGGUUCAUAUGGCUCUUCUCUUUCCAUCGUUGGAGAGAAUCUCUUCCGUCUCGCUUUUCUGUGACAUGUCCAAUUUUGCUUGCUACAUCAAUCGUUAACGCUAGCGCUCUCCUCUCGUACGCUCGUUGUAUCAUUGUGUAGCCACACGAGGAAGGCGCUGCUUCGCGUUCACAUGAAAAUGUGGUAGUGUGAAAUCAAGUUUGCAAGCGGCAGGACGCGUCGAUUUGUGCCCGUUUUUCUCUUUCGUAAAACCAAUACGGAAAAACUAUUUGAGAUCGUAACACGCACGAACGGAAGUGAGUACGGACCACGAUAUAAGCAAUACUCAAUUGGUUGGAGAGCUGAAAAACAACAGGAGAUGUGAGGAAAAAAGGCAAGAACGAUCAUUCAACGCGCUAGUGCCGGACAAAGGAGAAGUGGCAGGAAGGCAGGAACGAUAAUUCAACGCGCUAGCGCCGGACGAAGGAGAAGCGGUAGGAAAGCAGGAACGAUCAUCCAACGUGCUAGCGUCUGGUACAUGGGAUGCGGCUGGAAGAUAGGGAUGAACAUCCAGUUCGCUAGCGCAGCACGUGGGGGCAGCGAAGGGAGGGAGACGGAACUAAUCUUUAACGCGUACACACCAGUCGACGAGCACAACGCGGAUGAAAGGAAGAACGAGGAGAGAAGGCAGGCAAGACGGGUACGUGUGUAUCCCUUACCGGUUUUCGGCAGUGUGAAUUGUGUGAGUAUGUAAAUAUGUGUGUGCGAGUAAAGAGGUAAUAAAGAGCGUAAGCAUGUGUGGAAUGGAUAAA
Long non-coding RNA from Anopheles arabiensis, 1155 nucleotides. RefSeq lists it as uncharacterized. The record is from RefSeq and is a predicted model, not a curated record. The transcript has 3 exons. Lineage: Eukaryota; Metazoa; Arthropoda; Insecta; Diptera; Culicidae.